GAUGAACGCUGGCGGCGUGCCUAACACAUGCAAGUCGAACGAGCGAGAGAUGAAACCUAGUGAUUCUCAAGCGAGUGGCGGACGGGUGAGUAACGCGUGGGUAACCUGCCUUACAGAGGGGGAUAACAGUCUGAAAAGACUGCUAAUACCGCAUAAGCACACAGUACCGCAUGGUACAGGGUGAAAAGAUUUAUCACUGUAAGAUGGACCCGCGUCUGAUUAGCCAGUUGGCAGGGUAACGGCCUACCAAAGCGACGAUCAGUAGCCGACCUGAGAGGGUGAUCGGCCACAUUGGGACUGAGACACGGCCCAGACUCCUACGGGAGGCAGCAGUGGGGGAUAUUGCACAAUGGAGGAAACUCUGAUGCAGCGACGCCGCGUGAGUGAAGAAGUUUUCGGUAUGUAAAGCUCUUCAGCAGGGAAGAGAAUG
Molecule: ribosomal RNA, 430 nt
Filed under: bacterium FB2023
Lineage: Bacteria
Description: bacterial SSU rRNA
Rfam family: Bacterial small subunit ribosomal RNA
Source: RNAcentral